AGAGUUUGAUCCUGGCUCAGAUUGAACGCUGGCGGCAGGCCUAACACAUGCAAGUCGAGCGGCAGCGGGAAAGUAGCUUGCUACUUUUGCCGGCGAGCGGCGGACGGGUGAGUAAUGCCUGGGAAAUUGCCCAGUCGAGGGGGAUAACAGUUGGAAACGACUGCUAAUACCGCAUACGCCCUACGGGGGAAAGCAGGGGACCUUCGGGCCUUGCGCGAUUGGAUAUGCCCAGGUGGGAUUAGCUUGUUGGUGAGGUAAUGGCUCACCAAGGCGACGAUCCCUAGCUGGUCUGAGGGGAUGAUCAGCCACACUGGAACUGAGACACGGUCCAGACUCCUACGGGAGGCAGCAGUGGGGAAUAUUGCACAAUGGGGGAAACCCUGAUGCAGCCAUGCCGCGUGUGUGAAGAAGGCCUUCGGGUUGUAAAGCACUUUCAGCGAGGAGGAAAGGUUGGUGCCUAAUACCUACCAAUUGUGACGUUACUCGCAGAAGAAGCACCGGCUAACUCCGUGCCAGCAGCCGCGGUAAUACGGAGGGUGCAAGCGUUAAUCGGAAUUACUGGGCGUAAAGCGCACGCAGGCGGUUGGAUAAGUUAGAUGUGAAAGCCCCGGGCUCAACCUGGGAAUUGCAUUUAAAACUGUCCAGCUAGAGUCUUGUAGAGGGGGGUAGAAUUCCAGGUGUAGCGGUGAAAUGCGUAGAGAUCUGGAGGAAUACCGGUGGCGAAGGCGGCCCCCUGGACAAAGACUGACGCUCAG
Molecule: ribosomal RNA, 755 nt
Filed under: uncultured bacterium
Lineage: Bacteria
Description: bacterial SSU rRNA
Rfam family: Bacterial small subunit ribosomal RNA
Source: RNAcentral